This 582-nucleotide long non-coding RNA is filed under the name Chrysemys picta bellii (western painted turtle). RNAcentral's name for it is "lncRNA (ENSCPBG00000011157.1)". The record is from RNAcentral. Lineage: Eukaryota; Metazoa; Chordata; Testudines; Emydidae.
ACCGCACUGCUCCCCCCUCGGCUCGGCAGAGAGAAAGCCAAAGAUGAACAAGAUGCUGGCUCUGGGUUUGCCAGCCCUGCUCUGCUUAGCAACGGCUGCAGCUCUCCAGUGCAACGGCUGUUUCAUGAUGCUACAGGAUGGCAGCUGUAUGCUAGGCAAACACACCUGCACAGCCGCGCGGGGAGAAUCCUGCUUUACCCGUAAAAUCACUAUCGCGGGCUUUAUCAAUCGUGUGGAGCGGGGCUGCACAUCCAUCUGCGAGGAUACAGAGAUCCCUGAAGACUACUACAAGGACACCACCCAGUGCUGCACAGAUGGGGACUUCUGCAACAUCCACAACCCCUUCCCCAAAUUCUCCGAUUAUGCCUAAGGGGAGACUGGUGUUCAGGGCUGGCAGGAGCUCCCUUCACCCCACCCCUGGCUCUGGGUUAGUCUCUCACGCCCCUCGCCUCAUGUAAAAUCCAGCAGGACCCAAGACCAUCCCCUGGUGUCAUCCUCAAUCACACGCUCCUGUUAGCUACAAAUGAUAUUUAAAUUAGGAAAUGAACUCUAACCUCUGGCCCUGCCCCACUCCCCCUGGCC